GGUCCGCUGGCUCAAUGGCAGAGCGUCUGACUACGAUGUACGACUCCCUUAUCCUCCUGGGUAUCCAAGGGAUCGCAUCCAAGUAAUCAGGAGGUUCCAGGUUCGACCCCUGGGUGGAUCG
Molecule: transfer RNA, 121 nt
Organism: Chaetomium globosum CBS 148.51
Lineage: Eukaryota; Fungi; Ascomycota; Sordariomycetes; Sordariales; Chaetomiaceae
Rfam family: tRNA
About the family: Transfer RNA (tRNA) molecules are approximately 80 nucleotides in length. Their secondary structure includes four short double-helical elements and three loops (D, anti-codon, and T loops). Further hydrogen bonds mediate the characteristic L-shaped molecular structure. tRNAs have two regions of fundamental functional importance: the anti-codon, which is responsible for specific mRNA codon recognition, and the 3' end, to which the tRNAs corresponding amino acid is attached (by aminoacyl-tRNA synthetases). tRNAs cope with the degeneracy of the genetic code in two manners: having more than one tRNA (with a specific anti-codon) for a particular amino acid; and 'wobble' base-pairing, i.e. permitting non-standard base-pairing at the 3rd anti-codon position.
Source: Rfam